Molecule: unclassified non-coding RNA, 3334 nt
Filed under: Hevea brasiliensis (rubber tree)
Lineage: Eukaryota; Viridiplantae; Streptophyta; Magnoliopsida; Malpighiales; Euphorbiaceae
Source: RNAcentral
AUUUUACGCCAAACCAAGGAAGCCAUUUUGUUGUCUUCUUCAAAUUCAAAUCAUCCAAAACAGUGUGUGUGAAGGAAUUCACAAUGUGGGGUCCAUAUGAUCUUGAAAAAUAAUGGGGAGGAGAGCCCCGCUGUCUGCUACUUUCACUUUCUGAAUCAAGAAAAGCUUGCUCCAGGCCCUUUCCAUUUGAAAUUCAAAUUCAAACGGUUCCCAUAGGGGACGGCCACACUCAAUUUUUAUCUCAUCAGUAUAGAACAAGACCACAGAGCUCAAAGCUUGGAAGAUUUUCAAGUGCCAACACUGCGAACUAGCUCAUGGGGGAGCCAACUUGUCUCAUGCAGCAACAGCCCUUCUCUUAUGCUGCUGGCAUUCCCAAUGAAGCUAAUCAGGGCAACCCUCUUCAUGCUCUUGGCCAAUCCAUCUCUUUUGGAAGGUUCAUGUCCGAGUCCUUAGCUUGGGAGAAAUGGUCCACCUUCUCUCAUAACCGAUAUGUUGAAGAGGCUGAGAGAUUCUCUCGCCCUGGCUCAGUUGCGCAGAAGAAAGCUUAUUUUGAAGCACAUUAUAAGAAUCUUGCUGCAAGAAAGGCAGCUGCUUUGCUUGAGCAAGCAACUGCUGCCGCUAACAAUGUGUCUGAAGCAGCAAAUGAAGAUGAAUUUCAAGAAAAUGCAACCCAAGAUCCAGGAAUAGCAAUAAGUUCUGAGGCAAGUUUUGUUCCUGAUGACAAUGUACCUAACUCGCAUGCUCAAAUUGAUAAAUCUGAAAGCAGAAAGGUCGAAGAAGUUGAUCCGCUGAGAGAAAACCAAGCUGAUCUGGAGGAUUUUGCUAAGAUUGAUUCUUUAAGCCAAGUUUAUUUUGCUGAUAACAAGGAGGAGAUGAAGGAAACAGAGCAUAGUGGAACAAAAUUAAUGGAGAAACCUUUAUUGAAGGAUUUCAUCUCUAAUAAAGACGAUUUGGGUUCGAAAAACAAGAAGAAACCUGCAGGUUGUUCCUCCAAGUCGUUAAUUUCUGGUAGAGCAUCCAAGUUGCCAUGCACACCAGUUAAACCUGCAGCUUCUGUUCGUUCUAGAAAAGAAAACAAUGCCACUCCAAUCAGCAAGAAGUCUGCAUUAGACUCCUUGGAUAAGAAAAGAUCAACUCCAAAAUCAACUUACAAGUCAGCGAAUUUCACUCCUGUCAGAGAACUAAAUAGAAUAACUUCCACAAUUAUCCGAAAGAUUGAUGGUUCUAAAGUUACUUCUAAUUCUAAAGCAUCAAAAGAUUGCCCAACUCCUCUAAGGACUCCAACCACGGUAUCUAUGCUAAGAGAGCCUAAACGUCCGCUAGCCACCCCUCAGUCAGAAAACAGAAGGUCAAAAACACCUCUUCACCCCUCAGCAUCUGGGAGCAAAACAGGUCGCCCGAAGUGGCAUUUCCUCCCAAAAGAGUAAUACGUUUGAAUUGCCAUUGUUUUCAGAUAUUUGUAUCUCUGCUUACACAACCUAUUUUUAUGGGGAAGAAAAGAAUGUGAUAACACAUAAGAUAUAAUACUUCCUAUUCAUCCAUCUCAGGCUCAGGACAGGGAAAGAAACUGUACUAAGUUUUUAUAUCUAUUGCAUCAUAAUUAGUUCUUAACUACGUAAGAUUUGGGAGCCAAGUUAAUUUUAGACGUUCAAAAGUUCAUAUUGAUCCCUUCAGAUGGAAGUGGAAGUUUUUUAGAAAGGAUUUUGAGUUCUCAUUUCUGAUUAUUGUUUAUAUAUGUCAGUUGCUCAAAGUUUAUGAGUUCCUGCAGAAACAAAUCUCAAUCCCCAAAUUUAUCUACACCUUUUAGAUUGAAGACUGAAGAAAGAGCUGCAAGAAGAAAGGAGGCAAGGAUAUAGCUAAAUUGCUUCUUUUCUUUUCCUUUCUCUUUUCUUUUCUUUUUUAAAAAAGGUGCAGCAAUCUACAUUGUUUUAUAAUUUUUAAUCAUAUUCCCCACAUUUUUCCUUUACUUUCAGAGGCUUGAAGAGAAAUUCAAUGCUAAUCAGGCACAACAGGUGCAGUUGCAGGCAACUCUUAAGGUAAAUAAAGUGUUGAAAAGCUUCCGAUGUGAUGACAAAACAACUGAGAUUCUCGAUGGAAAACUUACUGGAGAGACAAACACCCCCAGAAAUCUAAUUAAUAAUUGUUCCCUCUCAAGUAAAUUCAAAACUCAGUUUCUUACACGAUAAUCAUGGUUUUGAGCAGGAGAAGGCGGAAACAGAACUUAAAAGACUGCGUCAAACCCUUUGCUUCAGGGCCAGGCCGCUGCCUGAUUUUUAUAGAGAAAGAGCAACACCAAAAAAUCAGGUGGAAAGGGUAUCUUUGUGGAUUUCCAUUUUGCUAAAUUAAUAGCAACGUAGAAAUUUUUGCUUCAAUGUUUCUCCAUCUCUGCUCUCAGGUUCAAUUGACACAUCCUCAGUCACCCAACCUCGGAAGAACACCCACUCCCAGCAUGCUAAAGAGCACCUCUCAACCACCUCAGAGGUCUUCAUUCAAGAACAGCAGCUCUAAGCAUGCUAUGGGAAAGAAAAGUGACAAUUCACGUUCUCUAACUUCACGACUCCGAUCAAUUGCAAGUGAGAAUACUUCUCCAAAUAUUCAGCAUGAACAAGUAGCAAAAAAGUGAGCUUUUUGUAUGAUGAAAUUAAUUUUCCAAGGAUCCAAUUAUAGCAAAUUCAUAUGAGGUGCUCUCUUGUAAUCUGUAUUUAGAAGGAAUAGGGUGUUGUAAAAUUAAUUUGUCCUCCGGAUACUAAUUGGAUUAGUGUAGGCCACGAAGAACGUAACUGUUAUGUAAUCUAUGAAGAACUAAUUUUUUAACAAGAGGUAGAUGACCUUGCCAUGUAAACGUAGCGAGGUAGAUGACCUUGCCAUGUAAACGUAGCGAGGUAAUUGCAUUGGAACAGGAGUUAAGAUUGUACAAAAUGUUAAGAAACAACUAAUAUUUGAUCAUCAGCAUCAAAACCAUCAUAUCCUGAAGCACACAGCUCUCAGGAUAUACCACAAAGACAGCAAUCAGAAAAGCAUAAAGUCCCAUGACAGCUGGCCCAGUCCCUGAAAUUUAAUUGCAUGCAUCGCUUGAUUGAAAUGAUGAAUGAACUCAGAGCCUUUAACAUUGCAAUUUAGCAUUAUCAGCAUGAGAAAAACAGCUAUUCUGUUGCAAAAUACUAGUUACCUCUUUAUGGUGACUCGCUCUCUGAUAAGGUAUUUCAAGCUUAAUUUUACUGCCUUAACUAGUGAAGUCGAAUGGAGAGUACAGCGGAUGCAACCAUUACAAUCCUGCCAAUUGGACUCCAGCAGCCCGGAGAACCAAGGUAUGCAAUUAAACCUACCAGGAAUG